UACAGAGGUGGCAAGCGUUGUUCGGAAUUACUGGGCGUAAAGGGCGCGUAGGCGGCCUUGUCAGUCAGACGUGAAAUCCCCAGGCUUAACCUGGGAACUGCGUCUGAUACUACAAGGCUGGAGUUCGGGAGAGGAAUGUGGAAUUCCAGGUGUAGCGGUGAAAUGCGUAGAUAUCUGGAAGAACACCGGUGGCGAAGGCGGCUCACUGGCCCGGUACUGACGCUGAGGUGCGAAAGCGUGGGGAGCAAACAGG
Molecule: ribosomal RNA, 253 nt
Filed under: uncultured bacterium
Lineage: Bacteria
Description: partial 16S ribosomal RNA
Rfam family: Bacterial small subunit ribosomal RNA
Source: RNAcentral